UACGUAGGGUGCAGGCGUAAUCGGAAUUACUGGGGCGUAAAGCGUGCGCAGGCGGUUUGCUAAGACAGGUGUGAAAUCCCCCGGGCUUACCUGGGAACUGCGCUUGUAACUGGCAAGCUAGAGUGUGGCAGAGGGGGGGUGGAAUUCCUGGUGUAGCGGUGAAAUGCGCAGAUAUCAGGAAGAACACCAAUGGCGAAAGCAGCUCUCUGGGACGGUACUGGAC
RNAcentral lists this ribosomal RNA (223 nucleotides) under uncultured bacterium. Its description in RNAcentral is "partial 16S ribosomal RNA". It matches the Rfam family "Bacterial small subunit ribosomal RNA", at positions 524 to 744 of the family's 1533-position model. The record is from RNAcentral.